This 253-nucleotide ribosomal RNA is filed under the name uncultured bacterium. RNAcentral's name for it is "partial 16S ribosomal RNA". It matches the Rfam family "Bacterial small subunit ribosomal RNA", at positions 524 to 776 of the family's 1533-position model. The record is from RNAcentral.
UACAGAGGGUGCGAGCGUUGUCCGGAAUCACUGGGCGUAAAGGGCGCGUAGGUGGCGCUCCAAGUCUGUGGUGAAAGCUCGAUGCUUAACAUCGAGUCGGCCACGGAUACUGGGGGGCUAGAGCACUGUAGGGGCAGAUGGAAUUCCGGGUGUAGCGGUGGAAUGCGUAGAGAUCCGGAAGAACACCGGUGGCGAAGGCGGUCUGCUGGAUCCCUUCUGACGCUGAGGCGCGAAAGCCAGGGGAGCAAACGGG